GGGCUCGCAGGCGGUUUCUUAAGUCUGAUGUGAAAGCCCCCGGCUCAACCGGGGAGGGUCAUUGGAAACUGGGGAACUUGAGUGCAGAAGAGGAGAGUGGAAUUCCACGUGUAGCGGUGAAAUGCGUAGAGAUGUGGAGGAACACCAGUGGCGAAGGCGACUCUCUGGUCUGUAACUGACGCUGAGGAGCGAAAGCGUGGGGAGCGAACAGGAUUAGAUACCCUGGUAGUCCACGCCGUAAACGAUGAGUGCUAAGUGUUAGGGGGUUUCCGCCCCUUAGUGCUGCAGCUAACGCAUUAAGCACUCCGCCUGGGGAGUACGGUCGCAAGACUGAAACUCAAAGGAAUUGACGGGGGCCCGCACAAGCGGUGGAGCAUGUGGUUUAAUUCGAAGCAACGCGAAGAACCUUACCAGGUCUUGACAUCCUGUGACAAUCCUAGAGAUAGGACGUCCCCUUCGGGGGCAGAGUGACAGGUGGUGCAUGGUUGUCGUCAGCUCGUGUCGUGAGAUGUUGGGUUAAGUCCCGCAACGAGCGCAACCCUUGAUCUUAGUUGCCAGCAUUCAGUUGGGCACUCUAAGGUGACUGCCGGUGACAAACCGGAGGAAGGUGGGGAUGACGUCAAAUCAUCAUGCCCCUUAUGACCUGGGCUACACACGUGCUACAAUGGACAGAACAAAGGGCAGCGAAACCGCGAGGUUAAGCCAAUCCCACAAAUCUGUUCUCAGUUCGGAUCGCAGUCUGCAACUCGACUGCGUGAAGCUGGAAUCGC
RNAcentral lists this ribosomal RNA (770 nucleotides) under Bacillus subtilis. RNAcentral's name for it is "bacterial SSU rRNA". It matches the Rfam family "Bacterial small subunit ribosomal RNA", at positions 565 to 1335 of the family's 1533-position model. Lineage: Bacteria; Bacillati; Bacillota; Bacilli; Caryophanales; Bacillaceae. The record is from RNAcentral.